Molecule: long non-coding RNA, 1401 nt
Filed under: Citrus sinensis (sweet orange)
Lineage: Eukaryota; Viridiplantae; Streptophyta; Magnoliopsida; Sapindales; Rutaceae
Description: long non-coding RNA (CSIN_LNC001975)
Source: RNAcentral
UGCAGGCUUCUUGGCAUAGAAUCUCCGGUACAUGGAGUCAACUUCAGUGAGAUAGUAUGUUCCUGGAGCCAAAAGGCUACUGUCUUUGCUUGUUACAAAGUCUUUGGCUCCAUAUCUAUGCUCCAUUAGCUUCAUGACUUCCACAAAAUUCUCUGGGGGAAACUGCAUGUAGAGCACAUGUUUUUCAUUAAAAUGUUUUCAAUGGUAUAACAAUACUUCCAUUUAGUUUGGAAAGUAGAAACCCUGACUCCCAUUUAGUUUGGAAUCGGGGAAAAAUAGUCUUAAACUUCAACAUCUUACAUGACUUUGUAACAAGCAAAGUGUUUAUAAUCUCCAGGUAAUUUAGUUCUGGGUAAUUUGAAAAAAAUGUGUUUAUAAUCUCCAGGUGCAGACACUCUCAGCUAGUGUGCUAGAAAAAUACUAAUAAAAGGAAAUGCUCAAGGCAGCUGUCUGUAUAUGCUGACUGAAUGCAGUGACUAAUCCCAGAUAAACGGGUUAGGAUUAUAUAAAAAAAAACAUAAUAUCUGACAAAGCACACUUGAAGAAAGUGAAGAAUUACCUCAUGCCUUGAUUUCAACUUCCCUGCAACAUUCAUAACAGAUAGGAUGUUUGACAAGCUGAAGGGAUGACGACCUUCACUGAGUUUCAAUGAGAACAUCGUUGCAGUCAAACCACUUCCAUACGAGAACAAAACCACUCGCUUGCCAUCCUGCGAGUUAUUAAAUGGAAUCAUGUCUUUACAUAUUAACACAAGGAAUGAGAAUGAGAAUGAAAAAUUAGACAAUAGUAAAAGCAAUUACCAAUUCACUGUGUUUGUUGUGAAUAAGGGAAGCCAAUGCUGCAUACAGAGAUGCUGUGUACAUGUUACCAACUUGCUUCGGUAUUAAAGUGGAUGGUUGGACCUUUGCGUCAUAAAGGGGCUUUGCAAGUUGUUGGGAAACCUGUCGAUGCAUGGUAUCAGCAAGAGCCCCAAACUUUAACAUUUACACAAUUUCCACCACCAAUUCCUCAAACACGCAUAUAAUUUUCCAACCAAAAUAUGCCAGCAAUAAUAUAGAAUGAAAUUAUCCGGCCACAUGCAGGGUACAAUUUGAGGAAGUGAAGCCCGUGAGGCUAUUAAAAUAUAAGAGCUACCAACAUUACGAAUACAGAAAGUCAACAUCACUCAGGCCCUGAAGAAGCUGAUGAAUUGUCACUAUUAUGUCAAUUGUGUCAGACAUUACAAUCAUCAAUCUCAAUCCUCCCACAGGAAAAGAUGAAGGUCGUGAAAGAAAUUCAGAAUCGUAUUUCUUAAACAAUUGCAAUUAAGGUUCAAAACAGACCUUCUCAAGAUCCCGGCUUUGGUAGCUUUCAUCACCAGACAAGGUUGAAAAUGGUCCCAGCUUUUCUUUGGUAGCCUCG